GAUGAACGCUGGCGGCGUGCUUAACACAUGCAAGUCGAACGAUGAAGCCCAGCUUGCUGGGUGGAUUAGUGGCGAACGGGUGAGUAACACGUGAGUAACCUGCCCUUAACUCUGGGAUAAGCCUGGGAAACUGGGUCUAAUACCGGAUAGGAGCGUCCACCGCAUGGUGGGUGUUGGAAAGAUUUAUCGGUUUUGGAUGGACUCGCGGCCUAUCAGCUUGUUGGUGAGGUAAUGGCUCACCAAGGCGACGACGGGUAGCCGGCCUGAGAGGGUGACCGGCCACACUGGGACUGAGACACGGCCCAGCCUCCUCCGGGAGGCAGCAGUGGGGAAUAGUGCACAAUGGGCGCAAGCCUGAUGCAGCGACGCCGCGUGAGGGAUGACGGCCUUCGGGUUGUAAACCUCUUUCAGUAGGGAAGAAGCGAAAGUGACGGUACCUGAAGAAGAAGCACCGGCUAACUACGUG
RNAcentral lists this ribosomal RNA (466 nucleotides) under uncultured bacterium. Its description in RNAcentral is "partial 16S ribosomal RNA". It matches the Rfam family "Bacterial small subunit ribosomal RNA", at positions 28 to 507 of the family's 1533-position model. The record is from RNAcentral.